UGGGGAAUUUUGGACAAUGGGGGAAACCCUGAUCCAGCCAUCCCGCGUGUGCGAUGAAGGCCUUCGGGUUGUAAAGCACUUUUGGCAGGAAAGAAACGUCGCGGGUUAAUACCCCGCGAAACUGACGGUACCUGCAGAAUAAGCACCGGCUAACUACGUGCCAGCAGCCGCGGUAAUACGUAGGGUGCAAGCGUUAAUCGGAAUUACUGGGCGUAAAGCGUGCGCAGGCGGUUCGGAAAGAAAGAUGUGAAAUCCCAGAGCUUAACUUUGGAACUGCAUUUUUAACUACCGGGCUAGAGUGUGUCAGAGGGAGGUGGAAUUCCGCGUGUAGCAGUGAAAUGCGUAGAUAUGCGGAGGAACACCGAUGGCGAAGGCAGCCUCCUGGGAUAACACUGACGCUCAUGCACGAAAGCGUGGGGAGCAAACAGGAUUAGAUACCCUGGUAGUCCACGCCCUAAACGAUGUCAACUAGCUGUUCGGGGCCUUCGGCCUUGGUAGGCUCAGCUAACGCGUGAAGUUGACCGCCUGGGGAGUACGGUCGCAAGAUUAAAACUCAAAUGAAUUGACGGGGUCGAU
This 576-nucleotide ribosomal RNA is filed under the name uncultured bacterium. RNAcentral's name for it is "partial 16S ribosomal RNA". It matches the Rfam family "Bacterial small subunit ribosomal RNA", at positions 355 to 923 of the family's 1533-position model. The record is from RNAcentral.